CGACACACACAUAAACCUAAUUUUUCAGAAAAUUUUGGGUCAAAUCUAACAGCUUCACUUAGACCAACCCAGGUUGGGUUAUGAAUGAUUCACGUUUAUUCUGAGUAAACAAACUGAUGGUGAGUAAUGUACGCCAUCCGUUAGAAAGGCCGAAAAAAAGAAACACAGAAAAAUAUUUAUAUAACUUGCAUUAGAUAGUUUCUCAUUAGCAAUAAGCAGCAUAAAAGUACGGAAAUUUAGAAACGUAAACACUUGACAACUGUCAUAUUUUGUGAAAAUGAUGAGUUUUGAUGGUGUCGUGCGGGAAGUGAUCUCAUCGGUUGACAACGUUGCCUUUCUAGCCAGCAAAUUGAGCUGUUAAUUUCUUUCGCUGAUUGACACUCGAUUUCACGUUCUUACUUCUGCGAGGCGCAGGUGCGAUUUUCAUACACUUUCGACUGUAUUUAUUAUGUGUUUUCAGAAUGAAUCAACCGCACAACAAAUCAACCUUUUUUUUAAAGUUUUACCCCAUCUUUGGUCUGAGAAGUUGACUCAAGGAGGCCGGUUGUCGCUUGUCGCGAACACUUUGUGGUAUUCAUUCAUUCACUUACCUACAUCAUGUUUGAAGGAAAGAAAAUACCUAAAGGAAUCUAAUCUAUGCGACAGCACUUAGUCCAGAGAAGCUCAACGAAGAUGUAAACAAAAUGGAACUUAGUGUUUUACCUCGUGACUUUUGAAGUAGAGUGGUGUUAUUAUAGUUAACCCAUCGUUUUCAAGACUUCCAGUGCGAAUGACUGUCUCUCACAUGAAGCCAACUUCCUGUUAUGGGAAAUUGUUGUCAAAAAUUGCUGGCGCUAAAGAUAGGAAACUUUAGAACAACUGAUUAUAGGUUUGUAUCUUGACAUUUUUCUUCUGUUCCUCUUUAAGACAUUGGUAAUUGCAGCCUCUCUUGGAAAAAAUAAUCUUUGAGCGUAAGCGCUGUACCUAUGAGUAACCAGAAUUUUUCAUAUCCCCAGAUCACUUAUUUGACCUAUGGAUUUAAAAUCAUAUGACUGUUUGAAAUAGGAGUGGAAAACAUGUUAAGGAGAUCUGUGGAGUUACAAGAUCAUGACAUGACGUGUGAACGAAGAGGCCUUUUGAUUAUAAUUUUUGAUACUCACCCGUCCGUGCAUGUUCAGCAUCUAAUAGUUACCUACACCUUAGAAUUAAAAGGCAGAGGCACAUAUUGCUGACUGUCAGCAAAAUGUUUUCAUAUUAGUAGAUGAGAUAAAAACAAGCCUUAAAAACUGGAUUCUGUUAUAUUUCGCUUAUUUAUCUUAGUUUCAUCAUUUCUUACACAAGUUUUAUCUUAUAACUUAUACAUAAAAUGUAUGUUAAUGCUUGUUUUAGGAACAUUUCAAUACUUUUAAUUGGCCUGGAUAAUGCUGGAAAAACUUCCAUUGUAAACGGAAUCUCUGGCAGUUUGUAUAAAUUUAUCUUCAUAUUUGCAUGGCUGCGCAUCACCUUAUAGGUAUUGUGAACCUCUUGAAACGAUCGUUUGAAGAGGUUCACAGUGCUAUUAGGGUUGGUAGGCUCUCAUUCAAAUAAGAGCCUACCAACCCUAAUAGCAGAAAGAUGCUUAAAAGAUUUGUCUUAAAAUAAUUCUAAAAAAAUAAAAUGUUUUAUAGAGACGUUUCCUAACGUACCAAAGUAAGACAAAGAAAAAAACAACUUCAAACGUUUAAGAAGUCAAGGUGGCAUUUAUGCCAUCUUGGAAUGUCCAGAAGUCAUACUUUAAUGACUUAAAAGUGAUGUUGAAAGUCAUUAAUAGACCAAAGUUUUGAAGUCAUUUUGUAAAUCACUUUAAAAAUAUUAUUAAAUUCUGAAAUAUUUUUAAAACUUACCAUAGUAGCAUUAUAGAUAAUGGCUUUAUUAUUGCUUAAAAUAUACUGAUUUGCAAG
Molecule: long non-coding RNA, 1919 nt
Filed under: Bemisia tabaci
Lineage: Eukaryota; Metazoa; Arthropoda; Insecta; Hemiptera; Aleyrodidae
Description: lncRNA ENSASIAIIG002233
Source: RNAcentral